AGUGAACGCUGGCGGUAGGCCUAACACAUGCAAGUCGAACGAGUGGCGGACGUGUGAGGAAUACAUCGGACUCUACUCUGUCGCGGGGGAUAACGUAGGGAAACUUACGCUAAUACCGCAUACGCUUGUAUGAGCCGAUGUCGGAUUAGCUAGGGGGCGGGGUAAAGGCCCACCAAGGCGACGAUCCGUAGCUGGUCUGAGAGGAUGAUCAGCCACACUGGAACUGAGACACGGGCCAGACUCCUAGGGGAGGCAGCAGUGGGGAAUAUUGGAGAGUGGGGGCAGGCCUGAUCCAGCCAUACCGCGUGGGUGAAGAAGGCCGGCGGGUUGUAAAGCCCUUUUGUUGGGAAAGCGGUACCCAAAGAAUAAGCACCGGCUAACUUCGUGCCAGCCGCCGCGGUAUUC
RNAcentral lists this ribosomal RNA (405 nucleotides) under uncultured bacterium. RNAcentral describes it as "partial 16S ribosomal RNA". It matches the Rfam family "Bacterial small subunit ribosomal RNA", at positions 29 to 525 of the family's 1533-position model. The record is from RNAcentral.